GUCUCGCCUACUUUUGCUGUUAAUCUCACACUCAACAAAAAUGAUGAAAAAAAUCAAUAAAAUUAUUCCUCUCGAUACUAUCUUUUGAUUGUCAGAAGCUUCUGUUCAAGUUUGGUAAAAAUCCAGGCUAGUUUAAGAAUCUUAAAAAUGUUUUAAAAACUUUAACUGCAGACUGUAUGUAAUGUUAACUGGAAGAAAAAC
This 201-nucleotide long non-coding RNA is filed under the name Mytilus galloprovincialis (Mediterranean mussel). The record is from RNAcentral. Lineage: Eukaryota; Metazoa; Mollusca; Bivalvia; Mytilida; Mytilidae.